AAACACAUGCAAGUCGAACGGGGACCUUCGGGUCUUACGUGGCGCACGGGUGAGUAACGCGUGGGAAUCUACCCCAAAGUCGGGGAUAACCGCUGGAAACGGCGGCUAAUACCGGAUACGCCCUGCGGGGCAAAGCUUUUGCGCUUUGGGAGGAGCCCGCGUCCGAUUAGCUAGUUGGUGGGGUAAAGGCCUACCAAGGCUGCGAUCGGUAGCUGGUCUGAGAGGAUGAUCAGCCACACUGGGACUGAGACACGGCCCAGACUCCUACGGGAGGCAGCAGUGGGGAAUCUUGGACAAUGGGGGCAACCCUGAUCCAGCCAUGCCGC
RNAcentral lists this ribosomal RNA (326 nucleotides) under uncultured Rhodovibrio sp. RNAcentral describes it as "bacterial SSU rRNA". It matches the Rfam family "Bacterial small subunit ribosomal RNA", at positions 49 to 400 of the family's 1533-position model. The record is from RNAcentral. Lineage: Bacteria; Pseudomonadati; Pseudomonadota; Alphaproteobacteria; Rhodospirillales; Rhodovibrionaceae.